GAAGUAAAGACUCUAGGCCACUGGUCUUAAUGAUAUCCAAGACCCCUUCCAGCUUGAGAACUCCAGACCGGAAGCCCACAGACUUAACCUGGGUCCAGCCACUACUAGUAGUGGGGCUCUAGGAAGUCCCUUUCCUCCUCAGAGCCCCAGUUUCUUACUCUUUCAAAUGACCAUCAAGAUUCCUAGAUUGUAUUUUACCCAGGGCGUUAAGAGGAUUUUGUUUGGACUCGCAGAUGGGAACAUACUUUUUUAGUGGUGGCGUCUUGUUUUUCCGAGGCACGACGUCUUCUUUUACUGUGAUUUCAUGGAAUUGUGCCAACAACCUGGUUGGAUAAAAGUGAAGAGCGCUCGGAAGAACUGAAUGAAAUGUGCAGCUGUCGGUGUCAUUUCUGAAGGGAGGACUCGUUUUCUUGGAGAAGAGGCCUCAAUGAGCCUGGCCGAGGCCCGGGAUCUGUGUGAAGUGGACUAAGGAUUUAGUAGGAUGUCAACUGAGACAGAACUUCAAGUAGCUGUGAAAACCAGCGCCAAGAAAGACUCCAGAAAGAAAGGUAGGGCUCAAGCUGUUCCUAUCCUAAUAUCUACUCUUGUGUAGGAAUGAGGUUUUUUGGUCCUGGAAUGGCAUUUGGGGGACUAUCUUUGUGAUUGCUUAUGUUUGUUUGUUUUAAUAGCACCAUUAUUGGGUGUUUUUUGUAUGCACAGUAUCGUAUUUUAAAGGUCCUUCCUAAUUCUCUUGGUAAAAUCCAAAGUUCUUUUCAGCAUAUACAAAGCCCUUCUUGACAUGUCUUCUACUCAUCCCCCCCCCCCAAGCAACAUCUGUGUCUGCAUUCACGCCCCAUCUCCAUCUAACCCUGUUCACCCGCCGGGCAUUCUGUGCUUUGUAGUUCCUCUUUGCAUAUACCAGUGAUUCUCAAACUCCAGCUGCACCAGCAUCACCUGGAAGGCUUGUUAAAACAGAGAUUGCUGAGUCUCAUUCCCAGAAAUUUGGGUUCCCUGGGUCUGUGGUGGGGCCCAAGUUUCAUCUACAACAAAUUCCCAGAUGAUGCUGAUGCUGGUGGUUCAGAGUCCAGACUUUGAGAACCACUGGACUCUCAAUCCGUCUGUGGCUCUCUGCUAUUUCCUAGACUGACUUCUGCCUAUUCUUUAGUUUUGAGCGUAGUAGGACUUCCUGGAGGGCCAGGCCUUUCCUUAACCCCAAAUGGGAUUAGUUUCUCUUUGUUUGUUUUGUUUCGUUAGCACUUUGUUGGUAGCUAACUUUAUUAAUAAUGUCUUUGUGUUUGUUAGCCAUACUAUAUAGUCCUUGAGAGCUGGAUCUCUUGUUGACCCUUUUAACUCCCAUCAAUUAGAAAGUGCUUGACACAUGGGAGUUCCUCUAGUGGCUCAGUGGGUUAAGAACUGGACGCUGUCUUGUGAGGAUGCAUGUUUGAUCCUUAGCCUUGCUCAUUGGGUUAAGGAUGCAGUGUAGGUUACAGAUAUGGCCCGGAUCUGGUGGUGCAGUGGCUGUGGUGUAGGCCAGCAGCUGCAGCUCCGAUUUGACCCUUGGCAGCUUUCAUAUGCUGCAGGUGUGGCUAUAAAAUGAAAAAAAAAAAAAA
Molecule: long non-coding RNA, 1589 nt
Filed under: Sus scrofa (pig)
Lineage: Eukaryota; Metazoa; Chordata; Mammalia; Artiodactyla; Suidae
Description: lncRNA (ENSSSCG00040059418.1)
Source: RNAcentral